This 77-nucleotide transfer RNA is filed under the name Variovorax boronicumulans. RNAcentral describes it as "tRNA-Asp". The record is from RNAcentral. Lineage: Bacteria; Pseudomonadati; Pseudomonadota; Betaproteobacteria; Burkholderiales; Comamonadaceae. RNAcentral also lists the same sequence under 2 other names.
UGCCGACCUGGCGCGUGGUGAGCGCGCGGUACUUGUCGCGUGCCUCGGCCGGCUUGUUCUCGGCCAGCAGCAGGCGG